AAAUUGAAGAGUUUGAUCAUGGCUCAGAUUGAACGCUGGCGGCAGGCCUAACACAUGCAAGUCGGACGGUAGCACAGAGGAGCUUGCUCCUUGGGUGACGAGUGGCGGACGGGUGAGUAAUGUCUGGGGAUCUGCCCGAUAGAGGGGGAUAACCACUGGAAACGGUGGCUAAUACCGCAUAACGUCGCAAGACCAAAGAGGGGGACCUUCGGGCCUCUC
RNAcentral lists this ribosomal RNA (219 nucleotides) under Pantoea agglomerans. RNAcentral describes it as "partial 16S ribosomal RNA". It matches the Rfam family "Bacterial small subunit ribosomal RNA", at positions 1 to 218 of the family's 1533-position model. RNAcentral also lists the same sequence under 1 other name. The record is from RNAcentral. Lineage: Bacteria; Pseudomonadati; Pseudomonadota; Gammaproteobacteria; Enterobacterales; Erwiniaceae.